AAAGAAAAUUAAAGCUUUAUUGAUAAUCGGAUAAAUAUUACAAAGUUAUAUUACAUAUGACAUACAUGAAUAAUUAAUAAGAGAAUACAUUCUUGGAUUGUAAAGAAUUCGGGAAAGAUAACCUAAACUAAAUUAUCUAUUCUUCCUAUACUAUCAUAUCUAAGAUCUUGAUUUUAAUCUUGAUCUUCUUCUUUUCUUCAAAACCUGCAACCAUAAACACUAGAGAGAGUGGGUUAGGAUUAGUAUGUAGCAUAUAUCCUGUCAAGUGACAGUAGAUAUAAGCCACUGUUCAGCCUCAGAAUAAAGCCAGGAGUAGAUAUAGAUCAAACCCACCCGGCCAGGACCAAGUAACCAAGCAAUUAGCCACCCAUCAGCUUACAAGAUAGGCAUCAAGGAGAGCUUGACAACAGCAAGCAGCUGCUGUCAACACCACCAGCACCAGAGACUCACGCAAGGACAGCACUAGCAGCACACACAACAAGCACACAGCUGAGUCACCCGUCCAGAGCACUAUAAAUAGAGCAACCCAGCCGUAGUGAGAGUUUGAUAGCCACUGGUACAACUGAACCAAACAGGAGUUGGACCAAACCCAAACCUGAGAAUUAGUGUGAAGCAGCGAGGAGGUGCAGGCUAACCACAAGAAGAAGGAUAACCAAAGCCUCGAGACCAAGCUACUCAGCACCAGAGGUAGGAUUGGAGUGAUGGAAUCCUCAGGCGUGCACAGAAAUGUUGUGUCAUGCAUCACAGGAUUUGUAGGAGUUCUUGGAGCCACAAAAAUAACUUUAGAACCCAGAGAGGCCUCAGACCAGCAUCAUAAGCAAUAAGAUCAGGCAACAUCUGUUCUUAUCAGUUUAAUAGAAGAGAGAGGGAUAGAAAAAUAGACAAGAAAGCAGAAUAUAGCCAAGAGAAGCAGUAUCUAUUCUUAAGUAGAGUAAAGAUAGCAUAGAAGAAAUAGAUAGGUUAGCACCCAACUGAAUAUCUGCUUCUGCAGAACACUGCACUCCACUUACACAUGGUAUUUUUCUGAAAAUAGGACACCACAUCCACCAGCACAUGGGCUAGUAUCAUUAGCAGUGCUGCUGUAAGUAUAUAUAAUAGCAGUAACCUGUAACAACAAGUAUAAUUAGCUAUUACCCGAAGGUCAGCCGGACCAAUGGAAAUAGACAGAAUUAAGUAACCAACUCCAGGAACUAGAGUAGCAUAUUCAGUUAAUCAACUUGCAGUGGGAAGUACAGCAAGUGAAAUCAAGUAGACAAAGACAAUAGGAUUAGUGUACCGAACCAGGGAGCUUCAUAACUAAAGAAUCCUUCAGUUAACACGAAUAGCAGAGCCACAUAGGAGCAAACAACAUAUUAAGCACUUUGCUCCUGACCAACUUAGCAAAUCCAGAGCAAUCAUAUACCACCAGACCAUCACGUGAGCACAGAAAUAAAGCAAAUACACAUGGGCAGCUACUGACAGACCCUAGAACGGCAUGAAUUUAUCACCAGAGAGCUCCAGUAGGAGUUGAUGCUUGAUUACAACAUCUAGCAGCAACUAGUAGAAUCCCACAUCCAACCCAAAUCAUGGCCAAGGCCAUGCAUGAGCAAAAUCAAUGGAGAAGGAACCGGGAGGACCUCACCAGAGGGAGAUUGUAGCCAUAGCUGUAGCUCAGCCACACAACGGUUGUGGUGUGACCAUCACCACAUCCAGGAGAGGGUCUGGAGGCCGCCGGAGCACAACCACGACGACCAGGGCGAGCGCCGGGCACGGUGGCGCCACCCCGAGGGCAUCACCGCACGGAGACGCCACCCCAGGGGCACCAACGCAUCACGGUGAGCCGCUGGAGGUGCCGGAUGAAACCCCGCGACGCCCGAAGGGCCGUCGGCGACAAGACCCGCCUGGGGUGAGCCGCUGGAGGUGCCGGAUGAAACCCCGCGACGCCCGAAGGGCCGUCGGCGACAAGACCCGCCUCCACCACCGGAACCCUAGCGAGGAAAUAGUUGGGGACGACCACAGGAGGGAGGAAAAGUAGAUCGAUGCGGCGGAGCUGGUAGAGCUCGCCAAGGAGCAGCAAUGGGUGUGCUGGGAGGCGCCGGAGCUCACCGGAGCGGCCAGAAUCGGCCGGCGACCCAGGCGGCGACAGCGGGGAUCGAGCGAGAGAAGUACGAGAGGAAAAGAGCUGAGCGAGAGAUAGAGUCGAGUGCGUGUGCGCAUUCUGGAAUACUCUAGCCAGCGUGCGUACGUGUUGGGCUGAACCCAACCAUGGUGUGCGUACAUGUGUAUUGAACCAGGCCACCAAACCAAUACACGUGUGUGCUACCUCAAGCCCUUGGAUUAAUUCACGUAUAAUCCCC
This 2336-nucleotide long non-coding RNA is filed under the name Triticum aestivum (bread wheat). RNAcentral describes it as "long non-coding RNA (TAES_LNC025955)". The record is from RNAcentral. Lineage: Eukaryota; Viridiplantae; Streptophyta; Magnoliopsida; Poales; Poaceae.